This 916-nucleotide ribosomal RNA is filed under the name bacterium BASU624. Its description in RNAcentral is "bacterial SSU rRNA". It matches the Rfam family "Bacterial small subunit ribosomal RNA", at positions 34 to 945 of the family's 1533-position model. The record is from RNAcentral.
CGAUCCAAGGCGGUGCUUACCAUGCAGUCGAGCGGAGUGAUGGUGCUUGCACUAUCACUUAGCGGCGGACGGGUGAGUAAUGCUUAGGAAUCUGCCUAUUAGUGGGGGACAACAUUUCGAAAGGAAUGCUAAUACCGCAUACGUCCUACGGGAGAAAGCAGGGGAUCUUCGGACCUUGCGCUAAUAGAUGAGCCUAAGUCGGAUUAGCUAGUUGGUGGGGUAAAGGCCUACCAAGGCGACGAUCUGUAGCGGGUCUGAGAGGAUGAUCCGCCACACUGGGACUGAGACACGGCCCAGACUCCUACGGGAGGCAGCAGUGGGGAAUAUUGGACAAUGGGCGCAAGCCUGAUCCAGCCAUGCCGCGUGUGUGAAGAAGGCCUUAUGGUUGUAAAGCACUUUAAGCGAGGAGGAGGCUACUGAAGUUAAUACCUUCAGAUAGUGGACGUUACUCGCAGAAUAAGCACCGGCUAACUCUGUGCCAGCAGCCGCGGUAAUACAGAGGGUGCAAGCGUUAAUCGGAUUUACUGGGCGUAAAGCGCGCGUAGGCGGCUAAUUAAGUCAAAUGUGAAAUCCCCGAUCUUAACUUGGGAAUUGCAUUCGAUACUGGUUAGCUAGAGUGUGGGAGAGGAUGGUAGAAUUCCGGGUGUAGCGGUGAAAUGCGUAGAGAUCUGGAGGAAUACCGAUGGCGAGGGCAGCCAUCUGGCCUAACACUGACGCUGAGGUGCGAAAGCAUGGGGAGCAAACAGGAUUAGAUACCCUGGUAGUCCAUGCCGUAAACGAUGUCUACUAGCCGUUGGGGCCUUUGAGGCUUUAGUGGCGCAGCUAACGCGAUAAGUAGACCGCCUGGGGAGUACGGUCGCAAGACUAAAACUCAAAUGAAUUGACGGGGGCCGCGCACAGCGGUGGAGCAUGUGGU